Molecule: long non-coding RNA, 1208 nt
Organism: Lemur catta (Ring-tailed lemur)
Lineage: Eukaryota; Metazoa; Chordata; Mammalia; Primates; Lemuridae
Exons: 3
Source: RefSeq, a predicted model, not a curated record
GCGGGGGAGGGCCCGGAAGGGGGCGGCGCGGGCCCUGGGGCCUGGGACGCGGGGAGGAGGGACCUGCUCCUAGAGGAUGAAUGAUCCCUCGGUGAUCCCCUCAGGAGGGCUGGGAAGAACAAGGGGCCCUCUGAGGAAGAUGGGGCCAGCCAGGAGAGAGUGACCUCCUCGAGAGGGGGCUGAGUUCGGGUUGGGGGUAACGAGUGACCCCCUUAGGGGGCCUAAGAGGACUAGGGACCUUCUCAGAGGCCUUGAGGUCUGUGGAGAACAGCUACCCCUUAGGAGUGCAGGCUCCAGUGGGGGGAGCUGGGGCGGCGCUGCUUUCUCAAUUUCUGGGGGAAAAGUCUCAAAUAUCGGGUAUCUUAGGAACCCUGGGCUAAAGCCACAUACCCUGUAAAAUGUCCCGCUUGGAACUGAAGCCUGGCCACAUUCCUACUCUAACUCAAAUGCUUCCUUAGUUGCAGCCCAGGAAAGGAACACCCAUAGUUCCACCUCUUGGAACACAAUUUUCUACAUGUAUAUUUGUUCAUUCCCUUCAGAUAUGUUUUCACAGGUGAAUUUUGUAUUUAGUUUUGAAAGGACGGUGGAUCUUGUAAGCGAAAUAAAUCAGCUCUCUGCUCUCUCUCUCCCUCUCCACCUAGCUAACAGGUACCCUGCUGAGCUCUGUUUUCCCAACAUCUCAGAGGAGCCCAGCAGACAAAAGGACAUGUCAAUUUUUUUUAGUUGCUAGACCUAUUGACCAAAACUGCUUUUUAGCAUCUGUUUCUAUAGCCUGGAGUAGUUCCUGAGAAGCCCCUGGAUGACAGCAGGGGGGACAAACUCCAGACGUCAAACCCAGCCCAAAAUCAUAUCUUGAGGCAAGGUUGCUGACAAGCUAUCUAACAGCCAUUCCUGCUCCCUAUCACCAAAGCAAAGAAAAGGAUGCAUCAGUCUCACACAUCAUGCUGUUAUCUGCUUGCAGGUGCCUGGAACUGAGUUGACGUAACCAUCACAUUCAUGGAGAAGCGAGGGGGGUAGGCUGCAGAAGCUAAAGAAGGAAACAGCCUGGCGAAGAGAUGCAGAGGAGGAAAAAAAACCCCAAACCUGACUCUUGUCUAAUAGGCCAUAUGCUGAUCACAGAGAAUCCUCUUUGUGCUACCUGCUAGAUCAGUGGAUCUCAACCCUAUCAGACCCAAUAUCCCUUGGAAAAUAAAUAUUUUCCAAUAUUC